AUGGCGGCCGGUGGCAUGAGCAGGGAGGAGAGGUGGAGCCUGGCCGGCGCGACGGCGCUCGUCACCGGCGGCAGCAAAGGGAUCGGCCACGCUAUCGUGGAGGAGCUGGCGGGGCACGGGGCGCGGGUGCACACGUGCGCCCGGAGCGCGGCGGAGCUGGAGGAGUGCCGCCGCCGGUGGGAGGCCAAGGGGCUCCCGGUCACCGUCUCCGUCUGCGACGUCUCCCUGCGCGCCAGCAGGGAGCAGCUCGUGGAGACGGUCAAGUAA
RNAcentral lists this ribosomal RNA (267 nucleotides) under Triticum aestivum (bread wheat). RNAcentral describes it as "partial small subunit ribosomal RNA". Lineage: Eukaryota; Viridiplantae; Streptophyta; Magnoliopsida; Poales; Poaceae. The record is from RNAcentral.